Molecule: transfer RNA, 82 nt
Filed under: Neochloris aquatica
Lineage: Eukaryota; Viridiplantae; Chlorophyta; Chlorophyceae; Sphaeropleales; Neochloridaceae
Description: tRNA-Tyr
Rfam family: tRNA
About the family: Transfer RNA (tRNA) molecules are approximately 80 nucleotides in length.
Source: RNAcentral
GACUCGAUGACUGAGUGGCCAAAGGUGACGGGCUGUAAACCCGUUGAUAUUUAUCUUCGUAGGUUCGAACCCUACUCGGGUC